Molecule: long non-coding RNA, 2543 nt
Filed under: Homo sapiens (human)
Lineage: Eukaryota; Metazoa; Chordata; Mammalia; Primates; Hominidae
Description: HSALNT0028705
Source: RNAcentral
GUGGCAUCUGUGCUGUGCCUGUCAUUCAUUGAGAACAGUUUGUUUUCUGCUUAUGGAAUCACAAAAAUAUUUAAUCUGAAGCUUCAGUGGUGCAGCCGUCCUUGAGGCUGCAGACCAUAGGAUCCUUCCUUCUCUGUCUGGAUGCACUGGAGGGCCAGCAUUCUCGGAGGUGGCCAGGGUCCUCUGAGAAGCCAGCGCCCAAGUGGUACCUGAGUCCAGUGAACGGCAAGUUUCUUUUCUGGGAGCUGCUAUCACUGAAUACAUAAAGAAAUUGAGCCUAUAUGAUUUCAAUCUUCACCUUCUGAUGCUGAUGAAACAGGAUUCUAUGCAGAGAAAAUCCUCUCCAGUCAAGUAAUUGCAUCCAUUUCAUCUUCCCAGCCCUCCUCUAGAUGGGAGGUGGAGGACAGUGGGGACCCCAGCCAGAGCCUGGGGACUUGGCUGCCUUGGAACCAGAACCUGGCCCCUCAGAGGAGUUGCAGAAUUUCGAUAGAGGAGUGGCAGGAGGUGUACUGGCUGAAGAGGAGGCCCAAGGAACUCCUUUUCAUACAUCAAAACUGAGCUUAUCACCUCUACCCUGAAGUCAUCCUGGACAUCACUGGUCCCAGUUAAUCACUCACUUAUCUUUGCCAUCCUUGACCUGGCUGGAGUGAGCCCUUGAGCUGACCCAGAAGUUCUGAGCAUUUAUCACCCAGUAUUGAUGACCAUGUAUUUUGCCUCCUCUCUUUAUGCCUAAAGAUGAAGGAAGAAAUACAAGCUCAUGUUACAAAGAGUAUUUCCUGGGUUUAUCAGCUCUCCCCCUCUCAGCUUGAGCUCUGAAUGAUUUCUUAGUUCUCAGCUUUUCUUCCUCUGAUCAAAGUGCCUGAGGCAGUGAGCACUGGGAGGGCAGGAGCAUUUCUGGCUGAGCCCAAUGCUCACCUCUUCUGGGCCGUUUUAGGAAGCUGUGGCCCAGUGUUCUCUGGUCAGACAAGCAUGGCCUGGCUGUGGAAGGGUCUCCAAAGGCUCAUGGGUCCCAGGUGCCCUGGAUUUUGAAGGCAGCUGCCCUGCCUCCACUGGGAGAAGAUUAAAGCCCCCUUUGCCUUUCUUCGUCCCUCCCUUUCCCACUCUGUUCACUCAAUCACUCUUUUCUCUCCAAUGAAUUAAAUGCAGAAAAUCCAUGAGCAGGAUUUCUCUCUUCAAAGGACCAAAUAACCUUCUUUCUAUUCCCCCUAAAUUUUUUUCCAAACUGCAAAAAGAAAACAUGCAAACAGACUUCAAGUUAAAGGUGAGAGAAAGAAAGAAAAAUUGAAGCAAAGUAAUUUUAACUUGAGAAGUAGAGCAGUUUAAACCCAGAAAAAAAAUGUACACUCCGCAAUAUAGUCCUUUCCUACAAAUUAAUUAACCCAAAGUACUUGUUUAAUUAGUGUGAGGGGUAGGGAAUUGAGUAGCUAACAAUAUCUCUCACCCAGUUUAGAAUUAUGUUCACAAAAGAAUUUCUUCUUCUUUUCCUGAAAGGGAAGAGAACGUUGCCCUCAUUGGUCUGGAAUCAGCAGGUACCUCAUGGCUGGAGGUGUAUUUUCAGGUGGGUUGGGACUUUGAAGAGGUGGCUUUUCCUAUGGACCCCUCUGACUCCCCACCUGUGGGCAUGACACAGGUGACCUGGCUGCCAGGGCAGAGGCUGCUUAGCCCUGCUCCAGAGAAACAGAGCUCUGAGGGCUUCCAGAAACCAGGGCUCCUGGCUCCUCAGUCCUUCCCACUCCUCUCUUCCUACUCCCGUGCUGCAUAUAAACUUUUCUUUUUUUUUCAGAUGGAGUCUCACUCUGUCACUCAGGCUGGAGUGCAGUGGUGCGAUCUCAGCUUACUGCAACCUCCGCCUCCCGGGUUCAAGUGAUUCUCCUGCCUCAGCUUCCCCAGUAGCAGGGACUACAGGACCACAGGUUACAGGCAUGAGCCACUGCACUUGGCCUGCAUAUAAACUUUUUGAGUUUCCUGCUUUUGACAUGAGCAUGGAUAUUUAUCACUUCUAGAGGCAUUAGGAGAACUCAAGUCCAAGUGCUCAGAGACCUACAGUGCAGCUUAAGACCCUGUCACAGGAAUCUUCGGGGUGGGGGCAUGCACGGGAGUUAUAGAGAGUUGGGGAAGGAUGAGUUCUCAACCAAUGCUUUCCUUUUUUCCACAGACUCCUUUGGCAUCUGGUGAGGCCUGUGGAUUCAUUCUCAGAAUCACAUUUUUAAAUGCACAUAAUAAAAUACAUAGAAUUGCAAAGGAAGUUAAUUAUAUUGAAAUACAGUUAUCAAAAAUAUAAAUAAAACAAGUAUGUGGUACAGUCAUAUGUGUGCUUCUUUAUUAAGUCAUUACAAAGCAAGAUCUAUUUGGAGGUCUAAUAACUGUCAUAUGCUUGAAAAAAUCCUUAACAAUCAUAAUAUAUUAAAAAAUCUGAUUUCUACUUUGGCAAAUCAUAGAUAUUGCUGAAACUGUGGUUUAUUGCCUGCAUUCAUAAUUGAAGGAAAUGCUAGAGUUCAGUGAGAAGGUUGUGAAAAUAAAGAGAGCCUUUUUUUCUCAUCAAG